Long non-coding RNA from Thalassophryne amazonica, 92 nucleotides. RefSeq lists it as uncharacterized. Lineage: Eukaryota; Metazoa; Chordata; Actinopteri; Batrachoidiformes; Batrachoididae. The record is from RefSeq and is a predicted model, not a curated record. The transcript is spliced from 3 exons.
AUAAAUCAACUGGAGGCGCUUGCAGUAUUGGCUGGGGCGUCUCUAGGUGAAGUAGAACCGCUGUCGGAUGAAGAGCUCGACACAUUUCUGUU